RNAcentral lists this long non-coding RNA (643 nucleotides) under Physcomitrium patens. RNAcentral's name for it is "long non-coding RNA (PPAT_LNC004711)". The record is from RNAcentral. Lineage: Eukaryota; Viridiplantae; Streptophyta; Bryopsida; Funariales; Funariaceae.
ACAAUGCAAGAAUAAAUUUUUCAUAUGACAAUCACUACUUUAUUUAUUUCUUUAUUCAUUUUAAUACAGAGAACACAACCAUUUUAUUGCUUUCCACCUACCUAUGCAAGGCCACAUGCAUGUGCUCUUCUUACACAUAACAUGUGCUUGGAGAAGCUUCUGUUUGUUCCUGCAGCAUGUCUUAAAUUUCCCAGCUGGGUAGAGUCAAUGCAGGUGGAUUCAGAACAUUCCGUAGAAGUCAAGAUCCAUGCAGAUCAUCGUCACCUUCAUAGCUGCAUACUGGGUCUGGCAUUAACAGGAGUUACAGGUGUUACCUGGGCUGAGACAUGGGGUCAACAGCCCCAUAUUCAAUUCAUGAAAAAAUAGUUGUUCAACCUUCGGAUUGUUCAGCUAGCGACAAGAGAUGGGUUAUUGAUUUACCUUGAUUCCUCGGUCGACUAGUCACAGGGAAUCCUGGUAUGGUUCGUCACGAAAGAGUAGUAGUAGUAAUCGUAGUUGUACACUGUCCGUGCAACGGUGGAGAGUUGCCAUGUCCACCUGGUUCACCCCUGCAACUGUGAGAGGAUAUGGGCUUUGAGAACAAAUGCUGUCAGACGGACAGCUGAAUCCUAGCAGUCGUUCUUGAACAGAAAACCACUGAGCU